This is a non-coding RNA of Pelobates cultripes (western spadefoot toad), 423 nucleotides long. NCBI's taxonomy places the organism in Eukaryota, Metazoa, Chordata, Amphibia, Anura, Pelobatidae. The record is from the annotation of a GenBank genome assembly.
GUGAAUAGUAAAUGCUUGAAUACAAAUGUUGGCUACAAAUUAAUUCUAAAGUCUGAUAUAGGAAAUUGCAGAAUGGGACAUAUUUAAAAAAUAAUAAUCUUACCACCAUAACCACUAUAGCCCAUUUUAGUGUGCAUGGUACUAGCAUGCAGCAGACACUAUGCUCCUUACAUAGCAGGCGCAAUGUUCCUUAUGAUCCCUGAGGCACUCACAGUCCAGCCCCUCAUUCACUGUAUUGCUAAGAUGACACUCCCAUUCUACCAGAAUCGUCCAAAUAUGGAAACAUUUAUACAGUUUACAAACUAAGUUAAAUCUUUCACACUAGCAAAACAGUGAGCGAAUGGCUCACCUGCAGAUGCCUCAAAGACUCACGGUUUUAGUCAAACCGUUCAAAAACUGUUUGACACAGGACCUGGAGGAAGG